UACGUAGGGGGCAAGCGUUGUCCGGAUUUAUUGGGCGUAAAGAGCGUGUAGGCGGCCAGGUAGGUCGGUUGUGAAAACUGGAGGCUCAACCUUCAGAGGUCGACCGAAACCAUCUGGCUAGAGUCCGGGAGAGGAGAGUGGAAUUCCUGGUGUAGCGGUGAAAUGCGCAGAUAUCAGGAAGAACACCCGUGGCGAAAGCGGCUCUCUGGAACGGUACUGACGCUGAGACGCGAAAGCCAGGGGAGCAAACGGG
Molecule: ribosomal RNA, 253 nt
Filed under: uncultured bacterium
Lineage: Bacteria
Description: partial 16S ribosomal RNA
Rfam family: Bacterial small subunit ribosomal RNA
Source: RNAcentral